GUCUUUCUCUCUGCAGUAUAUGAUGAAGUGGAGAGCCGCACUCAAUUUGAUUGACUCUGGUGCCAAUCAAGGGCUGAACCCCGCCAAUGUACAUGCAGUGAGAUUGAGGCACACAGAUUUUUUAGUGUUGCAAUUAAAUUAUUUAUUUAGUUUCGCAGUAGUUUCAUCCAAUUGCCCAAUAUUUAUCUUCAAGGUACAAACAGAAUAUCUAGACCGGACGUUUCGGUCACAUCAGACCUUCAUCAGCGGUAACAUUUUUAUCUGUUCUGAAGGGAAGAAAUGGGUCCUCAGGAUGAAAAUAAAUGUGUCCGCACCUGUUCAGCAAAAUUGCGGAACAGAUGAGGGCCUAUUUUGCGGAUGUGUAAAUAGACCCUUACCUAUACACAUGGCCGAUUGGCAAUAACAUCUUCCAUCAGAUGUCACCGGUUCUUCAGCAGAGCCCGCCCACAAUUCCAAUGGGAUUGAGUAAACGGCUGAUAUAAAUCAGCCUCAUUCCAGUAACAUCCAGGAAUGAACCUUUCUACACCGAUUUGUGACAAACCUACCAAGCAUCCACCACUUAACAUCCAGGCAGAUUCGAGCACCAACAAUCCAGGGUUUUAUUCUGAUCGCCAAAAUUGGGGUCGGGGAGGAAUUGUUUACCCUAAUACGAGGACAAGACAACCAGUAGUCCUCAGGGCUUUUUCGCCUCUCUCUGGAUCUCCACAGCAGUUCUUUCAACCCUACUUGCUAUGUAACCAUCUAGACAGCUCAUCUGCAGAAUUGGUGCCAACCACAAACACUACCGAUAUUGACUACUGGGUAUGACAGAAGGAAGCGACUGCUCCUUCAAUUACCGAAUAUGGACUAACAGAAGGAUGCGGCUGCUCCUUCUCUAAUCAGACAUGGAAUGGCAGAAGGAUGCGGCUGCUCCUUUAACAACCAUGAUUUGUCAAAAGGCCAAAUGGAUGAAUGCAGUGUUGUGGGAAGAACAUCCUAGAGGAAUCCAGGGAGAACUCCACCUACAUGGGUCACACUUCCAACAUUCCAGCUCUUCACUUCUUCAUCAUGUGUGAACGAGGCUUGGAUUUGAAGAAGCAACACACAAGCAUAAACCAAGGUCUGAAGAGCAGAAUCAAGAUUAUCUGCUCCCUUCUAUCUAAAUGAAGAGCAUUUCCUUGUUUGUAUGACAUUAACCACCUUCAUGCAGAAAUAAAAAAAUAUCAUUUAUGGA
Molecule: long non-coding RNA, 1213 nt
Organism: Bufo gargarizans (Asiatic toad)
Lineage: Eukaryota; Metazoa; Chordata; Amphibia; Anura; Bufonidae
Exons: 2
Source: RefSeq, a predicted model, not a curated record